AUUGAACGCUGGCGGCAGGCCUAACACAUGCAAGUCGAGCGGAUGAAGGGAGCUUGCUCCUGGAUUCAGCGGCGGACGGGUGAGUAAUGCCUAGGAAUCUGCCUGGUAGUGGGGGAUAACGUCCGGAAACGGGCGCUAAUACCGCAUACGUCCUGAUGGUGAAAGUGGGGGAUCUUCGGACCUCACGCUAUCAGAUGAGCCUAGGUCGGAUUAGCUAGUUGGUGGGGUAAAGGCCUACCAAGGCGACGAUCCGUAACUGGUCUGAGAGGAUGAUCAGUCACACUGGAACUGAGACACGGUCCAGACUCCUACGGGAGGCAGCAGUGGGGAAUAUUGGGCAAUGGGCGAAAGCCUGAUCCAGCCAUGCCGCGUGUGUGAAGAAGGUCUUCGGAUUGUAAAGCACUUUAAGUUGGGAGGAAGGGCAGUAAGUUGAUACCUUGCUGUUUUGACGUUACCAACAGAAUAAGCACCGGCUAACUUCGUG
RNAcentral lists this ribosomal RNA (484 nucleotides) under uncultured bacterium. Its description in RNAcentral is "partial 16S ribosomal RNA". It matches the Rfam family "Bacterial small subunit ribosomal RNA", at positions 30 to 507 of the family's 1533-position model. The record is from RNAcentral.